GACGAACGCUGGCGGCGUGCUUAACACAUGCAAGUCGAACGGAAAGGCCCUGCUUUUGUGGGGUGCUCGAGUGGCGAACGGGUGAGUAACACGUGAGUAACCUGCCCUUGACUUUGGGAUAACUUCAGGAAACUGGGGCUAAUACCGGAUAGGAGCUCCUGCUGCAUGGUGGGGGUUGGAAAGUUUCGGCGGUUGGGGAUGGACUCGCGGCUUAUCAGCUUGUUGGUGGGGUAGUGGCUUACCAAGGCUUUGACGGGUAGCCGGCCUGAGAGGGUGACCGGCCACAUUGGGACUGAGAUACGGCCCAGACGCCUACGGGAGGCAGCAGUGGGGAAUAUUGCACAAUGGGCGGAAGCCUGAUGCAGCAACGCCGCGUGCGGGAGGACGGCCUUCGGGUUGUAAACCGCUUUCGCCUGUGACGAAGCGUGAGGGACGGGAAUGGGGAAAGAAGCACCGGCUAACUACGU
Molecule: ribosomal RNA, 467 nt
Filed under: uncultured bacterium
Lineage: Bacteria
Description: partial 16S ribosomal RNA
Rfam family: Bacterial small subunit ribosomal RNA
Source: RNAcentral